This 82-nucleotide transfer RNA is filed under the name Streptomyces sp. C1-2. RNAcentral's name for it is "tRNA-Phe". The record is from RNAcentral. Lineage: Bacteria; Bacillati; Actinomycetota; Actinomycetes; Kitasatosporales; Streptomycetaceae.
CCGGUCGCGGUGCGCGAUCGACUCGGUCAACAUGCGGGCCCUGAAGAGGGGGACCUGACAGGUUCGAAUCCUGUCGACCGGG